Molecule: unclassified non-coding RNA, 9718 nt
Filed under: Ooceraea biroi (clonal raider ant)
Lineage: Eukaryota; Metazoa; Arthropoda; Insecta; Hymenoptera; Formicidae
Description: probable nuclear hormone receptor HR3, transcript variant X6
Source: RNAcentral
UCCCCGGGUGCCAUCUGCUGGCGGUCGGUGCAAGCAGGAGCCACUGGUGCCCCGCAAAGUGCAUAGCGCCGAAACGAAAGGAAGGAAGGCAGGAAGGCAGGCUGGCUGGCAGGCAGGCAGGCAGGAAGGCAGGCAGGAAGGAAGGCAAGAAGGAAGGAAGGCAGGUUUGAGCCCGGGACGAGGACCUGAUGUGCUGCCUCCUCGACGACGAACCCGGGAGCGCACGGGGUUGCUCAUCGCGCGCGCGAUCCGCUCGUGUUGCCAACGAAGAAGCACGAAGAAGCCUUCCUCUGCGACGAGCUGCGAACCUCCACUUCCAUCAUCAGCGAGCAGCUCUGUGAAACCACGAGACGCCCGAAUCAACCCCGAGCCCGUCGCGCUUCCCUGGUGGUACCUUCGCGAAACAUCCCAGAGUGCACCAGCUCGCUUCGCCCGGCGUCCGUCUCGGCCGGUGAUCACACGAAACACCCCCGAACGUCAUACGUCAAACACGAGGAGGAACUCUAAGCUGCCAGGAAGCCGUUCCUGUUGAUCGUCAACGAGAGUAACGUAUCCGUCGACAUCUCGAGCAAAUCCCCAAAUACGGAAUACAAAUCGUCGAUGAUAUCGCGAAGACAACGAGUGCUUCGUGACGCGGGUGUCCUCGGUGGUGCGACGGUCGAUCGAGGAUGUCAGUGAUCGGCGAGAUCUACGUGACGGUCAUCGACGAAGACGAAGCAUCACGGCACGUAUGAGCCGUGCUCGAGGGACGACCGGUGGUAGCGUUCCAUCGCGAGUGCCGAGGUACCUUAUCGCGUGCGAGGCUGGUGGUUGGCGGCAAGAUAUCGACCGCAGCCGCCGAAUUAAUCGCCGAAGGUCGUCACGAGCACCACCUCGCUCUGUUGCCCUUCGCGCGACCUGAUCGGCGAUCUGACCGUUCCCCAGCCGAUGAUCUCCGUCAAGGACAAGCCGAUGACCGGCGAUCAUGAUCGGACAAGAAGGCCUGAGCGAUACCUGCCGAUCUACCAAUCGCGCGGAAUCACGAGAUCAAUCGUUGAAGCGGAACUUCCUUGUUCCCUCGGAUCGGAUCCGAGCUGUGCCGACCUGCCCGUGAUGGUAUAGAUCAAAACGAUUCUUCAGCAGCGCGAUUUUUGUGGGAGCUCGCGGAAGUGUGGAGAACUUCAGACCGACGUGCAUAGAUCAGUAUAUCGAUUCGUCAUCACGAUCAUUGCGACUAACCCGGCGAUGAAUGUUGUUCAAUGAACCUGUGUAUGAGAGUGGAGGGAAAAACCGUCCGUGCGCGUUCGUCUUCUUCGAGCUCGCACGCGUGACGCGCUUUGUCAACGCAAACGUUAACGUCUCGUGAUCGUCACAACCGUUGUGUAAAAUCGAUUCCCGUACGGCAAAAAAAGAUUUGUAUUUAUGAACUCGUUCGUUCUAGAUAAGCUCUUGUCCGAGCUGCUCGUCUUCUCGUCGACAGUACCUGGUACUUUGUCGUUCAAUCGGUCAGCAAGAUCGAACUCGCGCCGGGUCUAAGAACUUCGAGCACGAUACGUUCCAUUCGCUGUUUCGAGGCUGCGCGUGAGGAAGCGCGUGGUUGAAUCGAAGCGACCCUCUCCGAACGAGACCCACUGACCUAUCGACUCAGCGAGCCGCCACUCGAGGCCGCCUUGACCACCCCUGCUUCGCACUUUCCUCCCUGAUGUUUGUUGUCGUUGCUCCUUCAUCCCCGGUCCAACUUGCAGCUCGAUUCCUCCCGUGUGUUUGAUGAAUCGAAAAAUCACUCGCUCUGUUUCUUCGCGUAAUGUCAUGAGCACGUAAAUGGCGCUUCCUCCCUUAAAUACCACCAAAUUGAGUUACAGAUAUCGAUCGCUUUCAGUAAUGUACUGCGACAUUGAACCAGCUCCCGCGAAUGUGUGAUGAUUCUCCGUCGUUACCUCCGCGUUUUUUUAUUUUGACACUGGCGAAUCGAGCCGAUUGUAUCCCGCGAAGAUGAAUCGGAGCGAACGUACGGUCGCGUUCACCGGAAAAUCGACCGAAGGCGGAUACGUCGGGAUCGAGAUCGAGAUCGACAUCGGCGCGUUAUCUCGACGUGCCGUAAAAGCGCGGCGUACCGGUGUGAGCCGUUAAUAACGGUCUACACGUAUGGUCUGGCGAAAAAGAUCGUCGGAUAUCUGAUCAAACACAAGCGACAACGAGAGAGAGAGAGAGAGAGAGAGAGAUUAAGGGAAGCGAGAACGGCGCGAAACAUUGCGCGCUUCAAGAACAAAGACGCUUUAAAGAGUUCUCCUCUUUAAACGAUGAACCCGGCAGUCAUGAGGGGAUGCCAAUAAGUCCAUAUUAGACCUGUAAGAUCUGCAAUAAACAUGUGAAGAAUAUUUGCACAUGGGCGAGAAUAUGAUGGGAUAAAGAAGCAAACUUAAGCAAUCUCAAACUUGACUGAAAGACUCAUCUAUUCAUCAGCGUGUCACCGGCCUCGACACGCAACGCAACAACAACGACACUGUCUUCAAGUCAUCAUAUGUAGAAAUGCCGUAAUCUGCAUUAAGAUACUUUUGCUGGCAAACGAACACGCGCAAAAGAUGGCUGAAAGAGCGGCAAGUCCGGCCACCGUGCACGUCGCUGCGAACAGCCCUCAGCAACAGCAGCAGCCGCAACAACAGCAGCAACCGCAACAGCAACAAUCACAGCAAGCACAACCGCAGCAGCAGCAGCAGUCUCAGCAACAGCAAACGCAACAGCCACCGGAUAUAAGUAGCUCACAGCUGACGUCUCCACCAAUCACGGGAACAGCCCAGAUCGAGAUAAUCCCGUGCAAGGUGUGCGGGGACAAGAGCAGUGGCGUGCAUUACGGCGUGAUCACCUGCGAGGGCUGCAAGGGCUUCUUCAGGCGGUCGCAGUCGUCGGUCGUCAACUAUCAAUGUCCGCGAAACAAGAAUUGCGUGGUCGACCGUGUAAACAGAAACCGGUGCCAGUACUGUCGGUUGCAAAAGUGCCUACGCCUCGGCAUGUCAAGAGAUGCCGUUAAAUUUGGGCGCAUGUCGAAGAAGCAACGGGAGAAGGUCGAGGAUGAGGUCAGAUUCCACAGGGCGCAAAUGAGGGCGGCCUCGGAGACGGCGCCGGAUAGCAGCGUGUUCGAGCAUCAGACGCCGAGCAGUUCGGAUCAACACCACCCCUACAAUGGCGGGUACACGUACGGCGGUAGCGAAUACACGUCGUCGGGACCCGGCACCGGCGGUUACACGAAUUACAAUCACCAGGCGAUGACGAAUUACGAGCUUAGUGCCGACUACGUCGACAGCACGACGACCUACGAUCCGAGACCGACGCAGACGCAGGUCGCGGACACCGUCGCGCCCGACACACCCUCGGCCGUCACCGCGACCGGGGUGCUUCCCAGCGUGGUCACCACCGAUCCGGCACAGAUCAGCGAGCUUCUUUCGAAAACGAUAGCGGACGCGCAUGCAAGGACGUGCCUGGUGUCGACGGAACAAAUCCAGGAGUCCUUCCGGAAGCCCACCGACAUCACCAGAAUGAUCUACUACAAGAACAUGGCGCACGAGCAGCUCUGGCUGGAAUGCGCUCAAAAGCUAACCACUGUCAUCCAGCAGAUCAUUGAGUUCGCCAAGAUGGUCCCAGGAUUCAUGAAGCUCUCGCAGGAUGACCAGAUUGUUUUAUUAAAGGCCGGUUCCUUCGAAUUGGCUGUGCUACGAAUGAGCAGGUACCUCGAUAUCCAGCAAAACUGUGUCCUAUACGGCGACACCCUGCUACCGCAGGAGGCGUUUUAUACGACGGAUACGGCGGAAAUGAAGCUUGUUUCCUGCGUAUUCGAGUUAGCCAGAAGCAUCGCCGAAAUGAAGCUCACCGAAACCGAGUUGGCGCUCUAUAGCGCGGCUGUUCUACUUACCCCUGAUCGACCCGGAUUGAAGUGCCUGAUGGAUAUCACUAGGCUGUCGCAGGCGGUGGUCAGGGCGUUGAGGUCGGAAAUCGAUCGGAACCACGUAACGCCAAUCAAGGGCGACGUGACCGUGUGUGACGCGAUCCUCGCGAAGAUACCGCAGCUACGGGAGAUCUCGCUGCUGCACAUGGACGCGCUGGCGAAGUUCAAACGGUCGCAGCCGCAUCUCGAGUUCCCGGCCCUCCACAAGGAGCUCUUCAGCGUCGAUAGCUGAACGAGCGACGCAGCGCGGAGCGUCGUCCCGGCGCUGCCGAGCGGACAGGAGCGCGAGUAGCGUCGCGGACCUUGGCUCGGUCAAGAUUAUUUCCUUCGUAAUGAACGUAUUGGGCCUUAAAUAAACAUAACAUUGUUAUAUAUAAAGUAUACAUAAAAGAAGCAACAUAAAGUAUAUACAGAAGAAAUAUAUAUAUAAAUAUAAAUAUAAAUAUAUACAUAUAGUGUGGAUGCGUAUGUGUAUACGCGCGCGCGCGCGACACGUCUCACCGACGCAAAGGUGUAUACACAUACGCGUGUCGUUAUAAGAUUAUAAUUACAUAGACGGAGAAAUCGCGAAUGUGUGCGUGUGCGAGACGAGCGAGCGAGCGCGCGACAAGAACAAGAGUAAAUGAGUGUGAGAGCGAGAUGCGAGACAAAAGAGCGAGAGUACGUACGAGUGCGGAUCAUUGAGAAAGAGAGCGAGAGAGAAAGAGAGAUAUCGGUUGUUACGAUACAUACGAUAAAAGUAUAUAUUGUAUUAACUAAAAAAAAAAGAUAAUAGUGGAGGGAGGAGAAGUGGGGGAGAGAGGAGGACGGUGAUUAACCGGGUCCUGCCAGGACGGUCCGAGACGACGACGCGCGAAUAUAGCAUAAUAUUACUACACCGAGGACUGGCGUUCUCCCUUUACGGGAGGAGAAUCUCGAUCGGACCGCCCGUGCGAUGUAGAGACCGAAUAAUUAUCGCACCAUCGAACACACGAGAGUACGGGCGAACCCAGCGAAAUAGCGAUCGACGAAGGGUAGAGCUUAUUGCGGGCGAGGAACCGUGCUACCGCGUCGGAGAUUAGACGUAAUUAAGCGCGAUGAUGGCGGUGUGAUGGGGGAUGCCCUGAUCACACUCUCUUCUUCUACGGGGUUUACCAAUUUUCUCUAAUUUCCUCGGACCUCCGUUUGGACGUUUUUCUUUUUAAAUUCCAUCUUCGUUACAUUGUUUCGCUUUGUUUUGUCGAUCAUCAAUUGCGCGGGGAGGAAGGGGGAGUAGACUAUAUUGUGCCGUAAAGGGAACGUGAUAUAAUCAAGAUUGAGUGAUGAAGAAACGUUUCGUAGUAACUAGAGCGCGGGCUCAUUUAAUUUUAAGGGGUUUAAUAAAGACUGCUAGAAUCGUAGAGUAACGAGCGGGGAACAUUUCGAGCAAAGAGAGAAAGAUAGAGAGUCCGGAGACAAAUUAAAGAGGUAUGAGUCAUGAAAGAAUAACAAGAGUCGAUAAUAAAGUGCAAGGAAGCUUCGAGGGCUGAUGAGGGCACGCCUAUCGAUCGUCAUUAUUGUAAUCAGCUUGCACGAGCUGCGAGGCGAUCGGAACUUCUGCGUUCUCCGUUCGUAUAGCCGGUAAAGGACGCAUUUGUUCGCUAAAUAUUCGAGCGCGAGAUAUUGAAUGAGUUUCAAGGCGAAAACGUACGUACGAUUAAAGAAGCAAGUACAUGAUAGAGCACCGUCUUCUAUUUAGGGAUGCAACAGCUGCUUCGUCUAGAUGCCCUUCCAAUCACGGCGCUGCCAAUCACGCGUUAUCAUCAUUACUCACUCGAGGCGGAAAAUUUCUUUCGGCUUAGCAAGAACAUUCGGCGAAUAAACGCAUCCUUUUACUCACAAUUAGCUUAAGUGCAAAAUAUCGGCAGCGGUCACGCGUUCUGCCGCCGCCGCGACUUCGAGUAGUGAUUCGAGUAUAGUUCUGAGCUACUUUAGCAUAAAUAUAUAAAUAAAUAAAUAAAUAAUUAAAUAAAUAAAUAUAUAAAUAUAUAAAUAUAUAAAUAAAUAUAUAUAUACAUACACUAUAUAUAUGAGAAUAUAUUUUCGGCGGAACGAUCGAGAUUCGACGGUCCUCGCGAUUAGCGAAAAUGAUGAGCGUUAUAGAUUAGAAAGAAAUUUCGUCCCUGCGCACCAGCCUGGCCGGAUUUCACGGAUAACGGAACACCUAACACGAAUUCAUGUAUACAUACGUACAUACAUUUAUACGUACACACACAUACAUACAUACAUACAUACGUCCAUGCAAUACAGUACAUAAACGCGCAGAGAUAUAAACCGGCAAAGAGAAGAAACGGAGUGAACGAGAGUAAGAAAGGGAGAAUGAACGUGAGAGCGAGAGAGAAGUGUUAUAUGAGUCGAUACGCGCGGAUGCGACUUUCACGGAUGCAGGCGUAGAUAGAGCUAAAUCGAUCGCAUUAUGCGCGCGCAUUAAAAACGUUUUUGGUACUGUACGGCACUUGUAUGACGCGUCUCUUUAUACGUAAAUGAAAAACCCGUACUUCUUAUGGUUAUAAAGAAAAAAAAGAAAAAGAGAAAAAACACAUGCAAUAGCCCGUCGUCGCGCGCUGGGACACCCCCGCGAAGCGUUUACAUUACGCACCGUCACCGGCUUUCCUCGCUGUCGUCGAUCGUUGAUCGAGGGAUCAAGACGGAGAUCGAGAAGAGUUGAAUAAACGGCUCGCCGUUGCUCGUCGACACUUUCGCGACCGUUCUCAAAUGCAAAAUCAGGUCAUUGCGUGCCGGGCCGGAUUGAAAAAGUAUUCGUACGCCUUCGUGUCGCUGCUAAGGAUAAAAUUACGAUGUUAAGAGGCAGACUGGAAUGAAAGAACGAAAGUAUUCCUACAGCAUCAUCCUGUUGCUAUAAAUAACACUACGUUGUUAAGCUGUAACGCUAAAAGGUACUUGUACGUCACACGUUUGCUUUUAUUACAUUAUUUAACUUGUUACGACGCGAUAUUUAAACUGUUUAGGAAUCUUAAAAAUAUAUAGCUCGUAAUAUUGAUUUAAAGAAUACGUGAGAUACAUACAUACAUACAUGUAGGACCGCAUUCUCAUUUAAAAGUUACUUAUAGCGAUGACGUGCGAAUACUGUUUGUCUCAUUGUAUAGUGAAUUUGUUUAAGGCGAAUUAUUGAGUAUAUUGCAGCUAAUUAUGUGAACCCUAAACGGUAUACAUAUAUAAGCGGGGUCUGACAGACCGUUUUUCAUUGCAACUCGUUAAAGAAAUUUUAUAGCGCUAUUAUUAUUUGUUUGUAUUUAUAAAGUUUAAUAUAAAUGAAUAAAAUCUAAUUUCCACAUGUAGAAGUCGGAUAUAUUUUAUUUUUAUAUAACUAUUUAUUAUUGCAUAAUCUAUGCAGCGUCCGUCGGCCCCCUUUGUAUUAUUACGUAAGUAAAGUAAAAUUAUGCUGUUUAGGGUGCAACAAUCUUCAACAAAUAUCAUAUAUUUAACCCAUUAUAAUUGUAAAACAUGAGUUUAUAAUUGUACAUAAUAUUACAAUUGUAAUAAUGAGAUAAUGAUUUUGUUCGUUAUCUUUAGAAAUUCCAAUUUAUUUUUCAUGAAUAUUUAAUUGUCGAUUUAUAUUUCUUUUAAUAGCAAUUUAUUAAAAUAAUUAUACUCUCUGUAUAUUUAUAUACAUAUUUAAUGUAAUAUGAUUUUAUGUAAAAUCAUGCAACAAUGUUAUUUUUAAUGGGUUAAAUAUAUCAAUAUCAAAGUUGCGUAAAUCUGCAGCUUAAAUAUCUAGCGGUCGCGAAAGUGUUAACGAUAUUGUUGUAAAUUCUUUAUAUAUUGAUUUAUAUUGUAUAUUUAUUUAUCUCUAUUUUUCCGAUUUUCGAUAUUGAAUACCAAGAUUAUUAAUUCCAUAUACUGAAACAACGAUUAAACAAUGGUAAUUCGCAUUUUUCAAAUAUAUGAUGUCUUACAUGUCAACUAAUGGCAUAAUAAUAACUUACAACAUAUUAGUUUAUCAAAGUUAAAAAAUUAGAUUGUUAAUUUUAAAAGUAAGAUCUAAUUUUGGUGCAAGCAUCUUUGAUCUUCCAAGUAUUUCAAGUUUUUUUUUUAUUUUUAUCACAUUUUUCAUGUUUUGCAUUAUUGAUAUUAAUUAUGAGAAAGUUUUCCAAACUUCGAAUCUUUAAAUUGCAAGAUCAUUAUAGAAAGUAGAAAGCCAGCGAAUGUUAAUUUAAAGCUCAACUGGUUGAAAUAUUAUGAAUAAUUAUGAUUACAUUCGCGAAGUGAAAUUACCGUAAAACUUUCACAAUUGUUAUUUUAUUGUUGAUUUCAAAACAUUUUACUUAUUAUGGAAAGCGCAACGUUAUUUCCAAAUAGUUUUAGAAUAAGAUGAAAUUAUAAUUCUAAUUACGAUAUAAUAUCGCAAUUAGACGCGCGGAAAAUAACUCUCGGAUGCAUAUAUGCGAAAUCUCAACUUUAUACUAGUUAUAAACGUUUCUAUAGACUCUGAUUUAUAGCCAAAAAUUGCAUUCAGUAGAUAUUGUAUUCACCUAUUACAUUAUUUUUCAAAUAAGCCUUUGAUAUUAAUUGAAAAUACUUUAUACGAGACAGUGAGAAGUUCUCAAUUUUUUGUGAAAAGUGAAACUAUCUAGCAUCACAAAAUGGCAGCUUUAAUAUUAUUUCAUUAGUUCUAAAUACCAACUCCGUCUAUCUACAGUACUGUCAUAAUAUUUCCUCCGGCAAAUAAAAAACGCGGAACGUUCUCUUUUGAGAUUCUCUUUUGAGUAAAAUUAAUUAUAUAAUAUCUUAAAUAUAAUAUACGACAUUAACGUUAACACGAUUGAUAUUAAAUCAAGUCUGACUUUUAGCAAUAAUUUACAUCUUAUAUUGUCUCUCUUGAAAAGCAGGAUAAUUUUGAUACACGUGCAGCGGAAAGCUAUCAUCACAAAUACUCUUACAUUAAUCUCCCUGUCAUCAAGGCAAAAUUAAUUUGCAGAUAAUAUUUUUUUCAUUAUUUCCAAUGAGAUUAGAAUGAGCUCACGCUUGGCAUAGUGUUUCUUCUAAGUUACAUAGAAAAAGGAUUAUCUAAUAUGCAUCCGAGAGCGCUGGGUCGGAGCGAUCGAAGAUGGAUCGACAAGAGCGAUGGCGAAUCAGUUACGGUGCGCCGACUGACACGCUUUCGGACGGUCGCAUAUACUUAUAGCGAAAAAUUAAGAGAAUGCAUAUUAUUCUGCCGAUUAACGAGUAAGUGCGUAGGAUUCGUUUAAUUGUAGAUCGAACACGUACACAGCCACGUUACGCGCGAGUGCAAAAUGCAUACCAUCUACGACCCUUCUUCGCUCACAUCUCUAUCCCCUUUACUCAAGAGUAACAUACACAUACGCACACGGAUACAUACACGUUAUACAUACGUACAUGUACAUCCACAGCGGCACACACAUAUACACAUAUACACCGACACGCACACGAAAUUACACACCCAUACACGCGUACAAUAAGGCGCAACACGUACACGCGCACGCACGUUGCAAUUAGACGUUAUUAUCGCAAUUUGGAGUUAAAUUUUAUAAUAUAUAAUAUAUAAAAAAUAUAUAUAAUAAAUAAAAGUUGACGGAUAAUAUAGAGUUAUAUUAAAUAUCUAAACGAAGGUGCUCGUGUGUUUCUCGUAUGUGAAUAUAUUGUUCCUUUCGUUGCGCAAUCACAAUCAAGAUUUUCCUUCUUGCAAUCAUCCCGAAAAUAACUUAAAUAAAUUGAUUCCCUCAUUUUUACUAUAUUAUAGCGUAAUAUAGUAAUAAACUAUUUUACUCAUGUACAUCUUAAUAAACAUAAUUCACCGUU